CCUACGGGUGGCAGCAGUGAGGAAUAUUGGACAAUGGGCGCGAGCCUGAUCCAGCCAAGUAGCGUGAGGGAUGACUGCCCUACGGGUUGUAAACUUCUUUUAUAAAGGAAUAAAGUGAGGCACGUGUGCCUUUUUGUCUGUGCUUUAUAAGUAAGGAUCGGCUAACUACGUGCCAGCAGCCGCGGUAAUACGGAGGAUCCGAGCGUUAUCCGGAUUUAUUGGGUUUAAAGGGAGCGUAGAUGGGUUGUUAAGUCAGUUGUGAAAGUUUGCGGCUCAACCGUAAAACUGCAAUUGAUACUGGCAGCCUGGAGUACAGUUGAGGUAGGUGGAAUUCGUGGUGUAGCGGUGAAAUGCUUAGAUAUCACGAAGAACUCCGAUGGCGAAGGCAGCCUACUAAACUGUCACUGACAUUGAUGCUCGAAAGUGUGGGUAUCAAACAGGAUUAGAUACCCGUGUAGUC
This 460-nucleotide ribosomal RNA is filed under the name uncultured bacterium. Its description in RNAcentral is "partial 16S ribosomal RNA". It matches the Rfam family "Bacterial small subunit ribosomal RNA", at positions 338 to 795 of the family's 1533-position model. The record is from RNAcentral.